GCGGAAGUAGUUCAGUGGUAGAAUACAACCUUGCCAAGGUUGGGGUCGCGGGUUCGAAUCCCGUCUUCCACU
RNAcentral lists this transfer RNA (72 nucleotides) under Bacillus cereus. RNAcentral's name for it is "tRNA-Gly". It matches the Rfam family "tRNA". Rfam says of the family: Transfer RNA (tRNA) molecules are approximately 80 nucleotides in length. Their secondary structure includes four short double-helical elements and three loops (D, anti-codon, and T loops). Further hydrogen bonds mediate the characteristic L-shaped molecular structure. tRNAs have two regions of fundamental functional importance: the anti-codon, which is responsible for specific mRNA codon recognition, and the 3' end, to which the tRNAs corresponding amino acid is attached (by aminoacyl-tRNA synthetases). tRNAs cope with the degeneracy of the genetic code in two manners: having more than one tRNA (with a specific anti-codon) for a particular amino acid; and 'wobble' base-pairing, i.e. permitting non-standard base-pairing at the 3rd anti-codon position. Lineage: Bacteria; Bacillati; Bacillota; Bacilli; Caryophanales; Bacillaceae. The record is from RNAcentral.